CAGCCGCCGCGGUAAGACGUAGGGGGCGAGCGUUGUCCGGAAUUACUGGGCGUAAAGGGCGUGUAGGCGGCCUAGCAAGUCAGUUGUGAAAUCCCAGGGCUUAACCCUGGGCUAGCAACUGAAACUGUUAAGCUUGAGUGCAUCAGAGGAGAGCGGAAUUCCUAGUGUAGCGGUGACAUGCGUAGAUAUUAGGAGGAACACCCGUGGCGAAGGCGGCUCUCUGGGGUGCAACUGACGCUGAGGCGCGAAAGCUGGGGGAGCGAACGGGAUUAGAUACCCCGGUAGUCCCAGCCGUAAACGAUGGUCACUAGGUGUAGGAGGUAUCGACCCCUUCUGUGCCGCAGCAAACGCAUUAAGUGACCCGCCUGGGGAGUACGGUCGCAAGACUGAAACUCAAAGGAAUUGACGGGGACCCGCACAAGCGGUGGAGCAUGUGGUUUAAUUCGAUGCAACGCGAAGAACCUUACCAGGGCUUGACAUGUAUGGGAAGUUUGCCGAAAGGCAGAUGUGCCUCUUCGAGGAGCUCAUACACAGGUGGUGCAUGGCC
Molecule: ribosomal RNA, 547 nt
Filed under: uncultured archaeon
Lineage: Archaea
Description: bacterial SSU rRNA
Rfam family: Bacterial small subunit ribosomal RNA
Source: RNAcentral